This 468-nucleotide ribosomal RNA is filed under the name uncultured bacterium. RNAcentral describes it as "partial 16S ribosomal RNA". It matches the Rfam family "Bacterial small subunit ribosomal RNA", at positions 28 to 507 of the family's 1533-position model. The record is from RNAcentral.
GACGAACGCUGGCGGCGUGCUUAACACAUGCAAGUCGAACGGAAAGGCCCUGCUUUUGUGGGGUGCUCGAGUGGCGAACGGGUGAGUAACACGUGAGUAACCUGCCCUUGACUUUGGGAUAACUUCAGGAAACUGGGGCUAAUACCGGAUAGGAGCUCCUGCAGCAUGGGGGGGGUUGGAAAGUUUCGGCGUUGGGGGAUGGACUCGCGGCUUAUCAGCUUGUUGGUGGGGUAGGGGCUGACCAAGGCUUGGACGGGUAGCCGGCCUGAGAGGGUGACCGGCCACCUUGGUACUGCGAUAGGGCCCAGUCUCCUACGGGAGGCAGCGGUGGGGAAUAUGGCACAGUGGGCGGACGCCUGUUACAGCGACGCCGCGUGCGGAAUGACGGCCUUCGGGUUGUAAACCGCUUUCGCCUGUGACGAAGCGUGAGUGACGGUAAUGGGUAAAGAAGCACCGGCUAACUACGUG